Molecule: ribosomal RNA, 423 nt
Filed under: uncultured bacterium
Lineage: Bacteria
Description: bacterial SSU rRNA
Rfam family: Bacterial small subunit ribosomal RNA
Source: RNAcentral
GGAAUCUUGCGCAAUGCGCGAAAGCGUGACGCAGCAACGCCGCGUGGGGGAAGACGGCCUUCGGGUUGUAAACCCCUUUCAGGAGGGACGAAGGUUCGCCGGUGAAUAGACGUGCGGAUUGACGGUACCUCCACAAGAACCCCCGGCUAACUACGUGCCAGCAGCCGCGGUAAUACGUAGGGAGCAAGCGUUGUCCGGAAUCAUUGGGCGUAAAGCGCGCGUAGGUGGCCCCGUAAGUCCGCUGUGAAAGUCAAAGGCUCAACCUUUGAAAGCCGGUGGAUACUGCGGGACUAGAGUACGGAAGAGGCGAGUGGAAUUCCUGGUGUAGCGGUGGAAUGCGCAGAUAUCAGGAGGAACACCAAUAGCGAAGGCAGCUCGCUGGGACGUUACUGACACUGAGGCGCGAAAGCGUGGGGAGCGAAC